Molecule: long non-coding RNA, 3644 nt
Filed under: Marmota monax (woodchuck)
Lineage: Eukaryota; Metazoa; Chordata; Mammalia; Rodentia; Sciuridae
Source: RNAcentral
GCUGCCUGACCAGUAUCAACCCAGAGUGCAGCAGUUCUAGUUCUCAGACCUGGGCCAGAGAGGGCAAGACAAGGAGAAAAACAGAAGGCCAGAGAAAGGACAUGGGAGGGCAGGAUGGACCUUCCCAAAUUGUGCAGCAGAUGAGCUUGGUGCCCUCUCUUCAGGGGCACUGUGUGACCCCUGAAAGAAGGCAGCCAUUCAAAACCCACCCCUGCAAAGACUCACCUCUGCUUAAAGAGCAUGAAGAACUGCGGGGGUGGGGGGGGAGUAGAGUUUUACUUUUUUUUGAAAUCCAAACAGUUUUAGAGUAACCAUAGUAAGGAAGAUGAAAGUUUUAAUAAUAUAGCAACUUGCUUUCAUUAAAUAACUUAUUAUAAACCAAGCAGUAUUAGAUCCUUUAUAUUAUUUAUUUCACUUAAUUUUUAGGACAGCCAUGUCAAAUAGGCAUUUUCACCAACCCUGCUACAAAGGUGAAGAACUGAGACUUAUCCUAAGGUCCUCAGCUGUGGGAACUGAGAUUUGAGGUUGCUUCUGCCUGGUCUAGAGAGUUCAUCUUAUACCACACUCUUUGUUAGGGAUUCCCUGGUCUAGCCCCCUUAUUAGAAGUGUCAGGUUCUGAGAGAGCAGAGUGACUUGCCCGAGGUCCAUCCCCAGGUCUAAUUUUGCAGGAUUCCAGGGCAAGGUUCUUUCCAGCAGGUUCCUAGUGUCAGCUAGUGUGACAUAGAAUUUAAAGAAGAAAAGGCGGUUCAAGAUUGGCCACUUGCUAUAAUUUGAGAGACUUGUUCUUCCCUCCCUUCAUUGCUUUGUAUGCCUUUUUAGAGACGUUAUUAUCUUUGGGACCAAUAUACUUUUUCCAUGGGCAUAUUCAAGCAUGAGUGGCAGGGAGAAGAGAGAGAAACCCCAAAGUCGAAAAGUAGUGUGCCAACUUCCUCGUGAUGACUUUACAUGGGGAGCCUUUUAUGAAAUGUGGCUGCUGUGGCAUCUCACAGAUCAUCUUAUUCUUCUGGGGAGCAUCCUUCAUGUUAUUGGUGAGUAAAGUUCUGAGGCAGUAAGGCAUUUGUCCAAAGGCAACAGCUUAUAAAGGGGUUGAGCUGCCCUUAAAACUGUGUUCUGUGUCUUCUGACUUUCUGGUGACAGGGCAUACAUAGAUCUUCUAUGAAGAAGCUGGGUUUCUUUCAGUCCUUAGAGUUCCUCAUCCAGCCAUUGCUGGUUUUUGUGGUUCUUGUUGUUUGUGUGUUUUUUAUUUUAUUUUAUUUUAUUUUAUAUUUUACCUUUUGGAGAUGGAUUGUGCAAAAAUACUAAUCUUGCUCCAAGGAAAGGGGAGGAAAGAUGGAAAACUCCCAAGUGCAUUUUCUGAGUAGUAGGGGAGGGGUGAUAUUUGGGGAGGAAAGCAACCCAAAAAGCAAUCAACAACAACAAAAAUACUUUUCCUCUCAAGUCAAUCUCUCAUGGGAUCUAUAUGCUCUUCUCCAAAUAACCUUUCUAAAACCUGUGCCACACACUGAUGGGAGGGGAUUUCUUCCCAGUAAUGGCCCUGUGUCUAGUUCCAAGGCAGAGGUCAACAUCUGCAUGGAGACCAGGCUCAGCAAUUAGAAGGGGUGGGUGGGGGACAGGGGUGUGACCUCCUUUGUGCAGUGGCUCUGAGGGGAGGUUCCUUUGGGGGCUGGCCUGAGUCUGUCCACUGGAGAGCUGGUCCCCCACCCACCCUCGGGGCUUCAGCCUCACUCCUGUUCCAGUUACUCACUGUUUGCUACGACUUUCCAGGGGUAUCACAGUUUUUGAGAAGGUUCACAGCUGGUUUUACAAAAGGUGGUUCUGGGCUCCCUUUAAUUUUUCUUUUCCAAUAGCACCAUGGACAUACUCUCCCCAGAGCACAAAGGGAAGCCAUGGUCAUUUUGCUGAAAGUAGGCCUUGGUUUCCUUAUCUACAAUAGUCAUGGUCAUCUUUGCCUUUCCUCUGUCUCUCAUGUGCUACUGAAGAUCAAAGAAACAUGCAAACGUCAAUGACUCUAAAAUGCUAGACCACGCACUAGAUUAUUGGGUAGAUUAAAUUUGGAGAUUUCCCUCCCUCUUAUGGAAAAAAAAAUUUUUUAACAAAUUGUUGCUGCCCAGGAUCUCUGAAGACCUCAAGGCUGGAUGUGUGAGGGUGGGGGUAAUGGAGAGGAAGGUGCUUCCCGGGUUGAAUCAAAGCUGAGUUCUAAGCCCCUGAGAUGUGAUGUGCUGGCUUGGUUAUACUAAGCAAAUCUCUCAUUCUUUCUGAGGCUGUUUCCCAGUCUGGGAAUGGGACUCCAAAGCCUGCUUCACAGGGCUUUUGUGAAAUUUAAUGAGAAAUAAAUGUGGAUGCUGAAUAGUAAUUUGAGCACCUACUUUGUAUCUGCUACUCAACAUUAGUGACCUCAGCAUUCACACAGUGUCCUGGUGAGCUGUGCUUCACAGACCUUUAGAGUUAAGGGAAUUGAAGCCCAGAGAAGUUAAGCAACUUGCCUAAAAUCACAAAGUAAUCAGAAGGGCUGGAAUUCUGACAUUGCUCUUUUCAUUCUAAUGUCUAGGAAAUUUCCAUUGCCUUACUUUGGCUCUCAGUUGUGUAUGUGGAAAUACUCUAAAAACAGUAAGGCUCUCUGGAAAUUUCUUCCCUUUCUUUUCUCUCUUUCUUUCUAUACUAGGGAUUGGGCACAGGGGAGCUUUACCACUGAAUCACAGCCCCAGUCUUUUUAUUGUUUUUAUUUUGAAACAGGAUCUCAUUAAGUUGCCAGGUCUGGUUUCAACAUUGCAAUCCUCCUGCCUCAGCCUCCUGAAUCACUGGAUACAGGCAUACAUACACUGGCAGAUUCAUUUGUUUCAUGAGAAAACACUGGGAACCUAUGAUGUUGAAACCUUGGAAAGUAGUCUGGAGACAGAAGCCCCUGAUUCAGUAUUUUUCCUCCAUUGGAUCCCAGUUUUCCAAUCUAUAGGACAAGAGAAGACUCUCUUAGAUCAUCUCUAAAGCCCCAUUUGACUCAGCUCUGACUUGCUAAAUAUAUAUAAGUAUACAUGCAUAUGUAUAUAUGUGUAUAUACAUAUGUAUUAAAAACAUUUUUUAAAAAAGAAUGAAUUACUGUGAAAAUGUGGGGUGGGGAGUGGUAAAUUGAUACUCAUUGUGUGUCUCUAAUAUGCCAUGACCUUCUUGGUUGAUAGUCUCUGAAGGUGACUGCUCCCAAUUCCUUCCCUUUUUGUAUAUGCACACUACCCCUCACAUCAAAAAGCAAAGUCCACUUGAAUUUAAUGUAAGGGACUUGAGCAUCUGCAGAUUUGGUAUUCAUGGUGGGUCCUAGAUACUAAAGGAUGACUGUACUAACUUAUAGGCUGCUUUUUCCUAGAUCAUAGCUGUGGUGCUGUAGGAUGGGAAGUCUAUGCUGCAUGGAGAAGCCAUGUUUAGGUGCUCCAGUUGACUGCCCUAGCUAAGCUCCCCGCUGACCUCAACUAUGAGAGCCACCUUGGACAUCCAGCCCAGUUAACUUUCAGAGGACUCCAGUUCCAGCUGACUUCUGGAUGCAGCUAGGAAACUUGGCAAGCAUCAUCUGGCUGAGUCCAGGCAACCCACAGAACCGUGAGAGGUGAUCAUUAUCGUUUUUGAUUUGUGGGGGGAGGAGUACCAGGGAUUAAACU